Molecule: ribosomal RNA, 253 nt
Filed under: uncultured bacterium
Lineage: Bacteria
Description: partial 16S ribosomal RNA
Rfam family: Bacterial small subunit ribosomal RNA
Source: RNAcentral
UACGUAGGGUGCGAGCGUUAAUCGGAAUUACUGGGCGUAAAGCGUGCGCAGGCGGUCCGCAAAGUCUGAUGUGAAAGCCCCGGGCUCAACCUGGGAACUGCAUUGGAAACUAAUGGGCUCGAGUGUGGCAGAGGGGGGUGGAAUUCCACGUGUAGCAGUGAAAUGCGUAAAGAUGUGGAGGAACACCGAUGGCGAAGGCAGCCCCCUGGGCUAACACUGACGCUCAGGCACGAAAGCGUGGGGAGCAAACAGG